UGAACGCUGGCGGCACGCUUAACACAUGCAAGUCGAACGAAGUCGAUGGAGCUUGCUCCGGUUGAUUUAGUGGCGAACGGGUGCGUAACACGUGAGGAAUCUGUCCCGGACUCUGGGAUAACAGUUGGAAACGGCUGCUAAUACCGGAUGUCUUCAUUUGGCCGCAUGGUUGUUUGAAGAAAGAUUUAUCGGUUUGGGAGGAUCUCGCGGCCUAUCAGCUUGUUGGAGAGGUAAUGGCUCACCAAGGCUUCGACGGGUAGCUGGUCUGAGAGGAUGAUCAGCCACACUGGAACUGAGACACGGUCCAGACUCCUACGGGAGGCAGCAGUGGGGAAUCUUGCACAAUGGGCGAAAGCCUGAUGCAGCGAUGCCGCGUGCGGGAAGAAGGCCUUAGGGUUGUAAACCGCUUUCAGGAGGGAAGAAAAUGACGGUACCUCCAGAAGAAGGUGCGGCCAACUAC
This 460-nucleotide ribosomal RNA is filed under the name uncultured bacterium. RNAcentral describes it as "bacterial SSU rRNA". It matches the Rfam family "Bacterial small subunit ribosomal RNA", at positions 30 to 504 of the family's 1533-position model. The record is from RNAcentral.